This 8892-nucleotide long non-coding RNA is filed under the name Homo sapiens (human). RNAcentral's name for it is "long non-coding RNA NONHSAT172976.1". Lineage: Eukaryota; Metazoa; Chordata; Mammalia; Primates; Hominidae. The record is from RNAcentral.
AGGAGUGAUUUCUGAAAUUGUUUAGUGCAGUGAGGAAAAGACAGUGGGAUAUUACAAUGGAGAGACGCUGGGCAUUGUGCAGCAAGACGGAGAAGUCAGGGAGGGCUGAGCUGGAUGGAAGUGGUGGGAAGGAGCCAGCCUGCAGAGAAGCAGAGCGUGUGCUCUGGCAGAGGGAGUGGCAGGGCAAAGGCCCUGGGCAGGAGCAGGGUCAGGGUCACAGCUGUGUGGCUGGAGUUCAGUGGGCCAGGGGGAGAGUGAUGGAAGGCAAGGUCAAGGUGGGCUGGGGCCAAACCCUGCAGUGCUUUGUCAGCCAUGGCAAGGAUUUGGGGUUUUAUUCUAAGUGCAUCUCAGAGUGCCGGCAUCUUUAUCUUGGGGUGAUGUUGGCAUAUUCCCACCAGGAUAAAUUAACAUUCUCACCUUAACAGAUCAUUGGGUAGAGACUAGAAAUGUACCGAGCAGUGCGCAAAGAAGAUGAGGAGGGUUCUACAGUUUCUCCAGAUACAUACCAUGACAAUUUGUUUUUUUAAAAAAGAAGAAAGCCUGCAGGUAAGUACAGCCGAAAGUAAAGAGGGCCACAGUAGAGGAGGGAACAAUGCCACACAACAUGAACAGCAAGGAGGGAGCAUUCCAUUCUGAGCAGAGGGACGCGAGGAGGUGGGGCCUGAAAGGACACAGGAGGCACUGACCCCCCGAGGCAAGGGAGAUGUGCCUUCUCUGGGAGACAGCGGCUUGGGAUGGUGGUGGGGCAGGUUCCCCGGGGAAGACCUGGACCAGGGGCUGGGGGUGGGAGUUGGAGAGGAGAGUGCAGUCUUGGGAGCAGAUUUAAAGUUAAGUGGCCUCCAUGGACCCCACAUGGCCCAGUCAGUUUGGACCCUCCUGGGAGAUCCUGAGUUCUGAGCCUAGGCGGUCUUGUCCUGCCUCUGCUGAGCACCCGGGCCAUGGCAGCCAUCAGGAUGCAGGAAGGUGGGGUCCCCUCCCAGCAGCUGGGAAAGCAUGAAGGAAGUUCAUUUCUCUGCAGCAGCUAUAGUGAUCGUGAGGAGAAGUAACUGAAAAGGUCAGACACACACUUCACUUACACAGCUCAUAAGUCAGUAAAGAAGCAAAGCCUGAGACUUCCUCAGGAGGUGAGUAAAUCCUCUGCCUUGCCAAGGCCUGCAAAGCUAGGCUUGGGGCCGGCCAGCCUAGGGGAGUGGCUUCUCCUGCUCUAGCUCCCAGUGCCCUCUGGCUUGGCUUUCUGAAGAGAGGGCUAGAGGAGCUGUGCCUCUAGAGUUCAAAAGAAAAGUACCUUAGGGAGGGAGUAUAGGGUUGCAGUCAAAAGAAUGGGCUCUGGACUCAUAAAAACAUCAGUUCAAAUUCAGACUCAUACCACUUAUUUGCUGUGUGAUUUUGGGCCACUCACACAACCUCUCUGAGCUGUCGUUUCCCCUCCAUACUGUAGGGCUGAUAAUAGUACCCAAACCAUAAGUCAUUGAGAGGAUUCAAUGAAGAUCAUACAAGUAAAAGAGUUAGAUCAAUGCCUAGGUUCCCACUGCAUAUUGGCUGUGGUUGUUAUCUUUAUCAUUUAAAUCAUUUAUUAUUAUUAACACUUUAAUUGUACAGCCUCCAAAAUGACCCCUGUGAUCCCUUCCCCCUGGUAUUCAUGCCUGCUAUUUAACCAGAAUAGGGUUGAUCUGUGUACUAAUAGGAGAUUGUGGGGACAGCAGAAUGUGACUUCCAAGGCUAGGUCCUGAAAGAUGCUGUGACUUUCGCCUGAGUCUCUUGGAUCACUCGCUCUGGGGGAGGACUGCUGUCAUGUCAUGAGGACACUCAGGCAUCCCCAUGGAAAAGUCUGCAUGGUGAGCACCCGAGACCUCCUACCCACAGCCAGCAUUAACUUACCUGCUCUGUGAGUGAGGCAGCUUGGAGGAAGAUCCCCCCACCCCAGAUAACCCCUAAAUGACAGCAGCUCCCACCAACAUCUUCUCUCCAAGCUCAUGAGGGAGUGUGAGUCAGAACCACCUAGCUAAGCUCGUGAAUUCCUGACCUGCAAAAACCGUGCGAGAUCACAAAUGUUCAUUUUUUUUAUUGAAGCCAUUAAGUUUUGGGGUGAUUUGUAAUGCAUAAAUAAUUAAUACAAUUAUUAUACUGAAAAUUUCUCACUAGGAAGUGGCCACUCAUUAGGCAGCCCCAGCCUUCAGGCUCUGUCCAGCCCAGUAAAAGUCAGUCAUUUUUGUGCCAAAGAUCCCUGAAAGAGACAGCAUCAUGUUUGGGUAUCACCUCCUCCAGAGAGCCUUCUUGGCCAAGUCAAGAGCUUUUCUCCAUGUGCCCACAGAAAGGCUCUUUGUAAUCCUCUACCACACUGCAUUGUCAUUCUGGGACCAAUCAUGUUUUCAUCUAGGCUUUGGCUACUAGGAGGCUCAGACCCAAAUUUUCAGGCCACUGCGAAGACUCUCAAUUUAUUCUUGCCCUAGUUUACUCAUCUAUUUGCUUUGUCCUGUUUUGUGUGUCCCUUGUGUAAAUUAUCACACAUCCUUUGUGAAAUGAGGCGGCAUGAAGCAAGUCCUUGCUGAAGGUCCAGGGCAUGGCAAGAGAACCUGAGUUUAAGAAGCAGACAUCACCUGCUGGCAGCAGGCAGUAUCCUCUCAGUCAGCCUUGAUGUCCCCUUCCCUGGAUCCUCACUUCUCAUGGCAAUCUCCCCGUCUCCUCAGGUGGGGAUGGGAUGAACAGGUUUGAUUAGCCCUUCACUGUAAAUGCCUGUCCUCUGUCACUGCACCAGGACUGAUAUGGUUUAGUUGUCCAUGGCUAUCAUCCAAACUUGAAGGUGGCACUUGUAAGGAAAAAACAAACCAACAAGCUAUCCUAAAAGGAGGCUGGCAGCAUGAGGAAGGGGCUUGCCAUCCCCUGUGCCAGUGCGGGAAGACCAGCCCAAGUGCCCACCCCACUGCGGGAGCAGACUCAGCUGUCCCCAAACCUGAAUGCAGGUAACAAGGGCAGCAGCCUGAGCAUCUCAGAGCCCAGAGGCAGAGCGUUAGCCGAUUGCUUCCAGCAUCAUCUGGGGCACAGUGGGGUCUUGGUUCCUCAAUGGGCCUGAGUGGAUCUAACUCUGCGAAGUUAGAUCCCAACAGCCAUCACAGUUUGCAGACAAUGUCAUUAAGACCAUCCAGAUAACUUCCUAACUCCAGUUUUGUGCCCACCAAGCAUCCUUCUGAUUUCAAAUUGGCCUCGCAUGCCAUGUGCAACUGGGAGAGAGUGUGUGGACAGAAAUGGGGCCAAUUGACUAUUUCCCUUGGCUGUCAUAUUUUUCAUUAAUAAACUAACUCUCCAGCCACAAAUACACACUCAGAAUGCCUCUUGCUACUCCAGAUCCUCCAUUCACUGUGAAGGCAAUCAUGGGGAUUAUGAAUUCCAUCUCCCAGGUGUGGAUUAAACUGCAUGCCAGGGGAGGUUUCUGUGGUUCCAAUCUACCCCGCUUAGUACAUCAGAGCUCAACAGGAUCAGGUCAAAGCUGGAAGGAUCCUGAGAGCCCACAGAAAUAAUGACUCCUGUGCUGAGGUUCACAGGAGUAGCACUGGGGUCUGUGAAUUCUUGGCAAAAAUUCAGAAAACCUAAGGGAAUCCAUGCAUUAGCUGAUAAUGAGGCCAUACAGACUAACUAAAGCAUCAGCCACCUCAUUAAACUGGGAAGCUUAAUACUGUUUUUAUUGCACAAUCAUUUCUAAAUGUCUUUUAUUAAUAAAAUUGGGGAAAUGAAUUUGUUAUUCUUUAAUAAGUGCAGUGUGUUUAGCUGACAAAAUUUUUACAAAGAUGGGGAUCAAUGGGUUGCAAGAAUACUAAAAGAUGUUCUUGUUCUGCAGGGUUGGAAGCCCCUAAGCCACCAUGCACUACCCAUCAUUUUACAAAAGAAGGAGAAACUGAGGAACAAAGAAACACAUAUUUUCCCUCAAGCUUCAGAUUCCCUUUAAACUCUUAGGAUAUCCCAUAACCCCCUGUAGCUUAUGGCAGCUAGAUUCAUGACAGACAAUCUCUCUAGAGUCAAUUUGGUUUUUCUCUUAACUCACUCAAGCCUCUGGGAAUGAAAGGUCUAGCCCUUGAAGGCUACUUUUGGUAGAAGACGAGGUUCAGUAUUAAAAAGGAGGACAGAGGAUGGAAAAGAACACAACUACAUCAAUAGUUUCUCCACAUUAUUUGAUGUUCAGAACAGUCCCAUGAAGAAGAUAUAAUAUUCCCUUUCUACAGACCAAAAAAUUAAUAUUUGGAGAGGUAGAAAGACCACCCAAGGGAACACAUAUUUAGACGGAAAGCCCAGUUCUGUCUAGUGUUUAAGUCCUGGCCCAUUCAGCUACUCUGCUCUGUAACUAUCACCCAUUUCAGCACCGCGGACAGAGGCAGAGCCCUCAGUCUUCCCUGUAGGUGGGAUGGAGGCAGAGGGUGGUAAGAUGGGUGCUAAGUCCCAGGGAAGAUAUGUAUCCACCAAAGUGCCUGAAUGAUGAGAGGGAAGUCAGAGCUAAGGAAGGACACAUCAUGGACAUCUCUUUACAUGUGUAUCAAAUUGCGUUCUGUUUAGAACCAUUUUCUAGCCUCCCACCAAGGACGUAAACAGGACAAGCACUGUCAUCUGUAAAGUGCCACUCCCAGACUGCCACCCAGAGUUCAUAAAAGGCUCAGAUGAAUCAAUAGGUGGGAAAGUUAUCUGGAAUUUAUAAAAAUUCACUGUUAAGGAGACGACUAUCACAGACAAACCCCAAAAUCAGCGGUUUAACACAAUAGACAUUUUUUCUGACUUGUGUAAAGCCCCAGACAGGGAUUGCUGCCUGUCAAAAGGCCUGACUGGCACUUGUCUUGAGGCACACUCUGGUGCCCAGGCCCCUUGCUCCUUGUUGCUCUGCCACCUCUGAAGUGGCUUCUAAGGUCACUGUAUUUAUCUGUGUCAAGACAGAGGAAAAAAUCAUGAAUAAAUAAACCCAGGGAGAUUUGUAUGAGCCAAGCCUGAAAUUGGCACACAUCACUUUGGCUCAUACGUGGAGGACUGGGAGUGCAGAAAGAUGAGGAAAUGGGUCUUACUGAACACAGAACCACAGAACUCUGUCUCCCUCCUCUCCAAAGCUGAGAAAUUGCCACAAUCAGAAAGUGUGAUUCCCAUCUGAGAGUUUAAGAGCAGGAAUAGAUUAAAGACAAAUCAUGUAAAAUACCUUGACUCCUAGACUUGCCGAAGCAUUCAGCCUGAGCCAUCUUUACAUGUGGAUAAUCUUGGAUUUCCCAACUGGGCUUCUUGCACACUCCAUGGUAGAACGUCAGAGGAAAUUUUUUUCAAGCAAGAGCUGUUAGAUCAUGAGAUUCCCCAGAAAGAUACAGAUACAGGUAUAUGUCAUAUUACUGGAGAUUCUAAUUCAGCUACCUUCACAGGCCUGGGAAUGUGUUUUUGACACAGGGGCAUUAGGAUUGUUUCAGCUGCAAGUGACAGAAGUCUAGCUCACACGGUCUUAAGCAAGAAAGGAAAUGUAUUGAUUCCUAUAAGUGCACCAGGAUCUAGAUACACUGUCAGGCACAGCUGGAUGCAGACUCCAACAGUCUCAUUGGGAUACCCACCCUCUCCUCCCAUCUCUGACCAUCCCAGGUGGCUCCCUUCAUGGGUCAAAGUGGCCACCAGAAGCUCCAGAUACAUCUUUUUAUCAACAGCCCCAGGAGAACUUCUCUUUCUCAGUAAAAUCCCACAAGGUAUUUUUUGGCACUAAUUGUCUUGGCUUGGUCCCAUUCUUAUCCCUGAACCAACCACUGUGACCAAAAACGUGGUAUUCUCUGAUUAUCCAAGCCUGAUUCACGAGCCCACCCAUGAGUCUGAUAUGAGGUCCAGUCCAUACAAUCUACACAAGCUAGGUCUGGGGCAUGGUGGUGCCCCAAGGACAGCUGGGGUGCCUUUCCUAGAAGAAAGGGGGCAGGGAAUGGGUGCUGGACCAGCAUCAGCAGCAGAAUUCUUAGGCACUAGACUGUGGGGGGCUCAGAGAGGCAUGGGAGCCCUGAGGUCCCCACAAGGUGUGGGAUAGUCUUUCAGACCUUCAGGGGGGGUCUCUGCUCACUAACCUGCUCAAAGCACCCUGGCCCACACCGUGGGCAGCUGGAAGGUGCCAGUCCACUGAACAUGUGUGAUUGGCAUGAAUCUCCUGCUUUCCUUUGUCAGAAGGCUAGGAGUGGAUUUGACCCGUUUACUCAGACCCUCUCAGUGGCCCUGCUCCCACAGGCUCACCCCAGCAGGGCCCAGUGCUUGGCUGCCAAUGACGCCAAGGAUAUUAGCUGACAGUGACUUAAAACAGGGGUUCAUGACCUCAGGGUAACCGAGGAACCCCUGAAUCUGAAUUCAUCAGUCUGUGUAUAUGAAUGUGAGUGCCUCUCCUUUCCCCACAGGAAAAAAUCUACAACUUUCAUCAAAUUACUCAGGGAGACUUUAUUCUAAAGAGACUGAAAACGACCAACAUCAAUUUUGACUCCUAUGGGCAUCUGUAAAUAGCUUCAAGGUUUUAAGGUGAAAUGUCAUGUACCAAAAUACACAUUCUGGAGAAGCAGGAAGCUACAGACCAACUUGAGAUGAAAGUCUCAUAUCAAUGUUUUCCCAAGUGUGCUCCUUGGAAUACAGGUUGACAUGAUAUGAUGCCCAGCAAGGGAAACAAAACAUAUUCAUGUUCAAAUUAGUUGGGGAAAUGCUGGACUAAAUAAGGUUUGAUGGGAUUCUUUUUUCUGCAGGACUUCUCAGAAGGGGCUAGAGUAGGCAAAGUUUCCCAGAUUUACCUAAUAAAAGCAUUGUUUCUGUGGGAGUUUCAUUUGUUAUUACAUGUUUCCUGAAUGCAGAUUCAUAGACUAUCCUUUGGGGAACCCUCGUCCUCACGGGAUGUAUGUUCAUGGUGGUGUCUUCGAGUUUGUGCCCUUGUGAAGCAUUCUGGCAGCAAGCAUCUGAACACUUCCAAAAGGGGGCGAUAUUUAGGAGAAAUCGCUCAGCCUGAGUUAGAACAAAUGCAGCUGCUGGUGUCUCUUGGUGCCUGGGAGCCCUAGAGUGUCAGAGGGAGGAGCGUGCACACUGGAACCAGCAGCCUGGUGCUGCGUCUCAGCUCUGUCGCUAACUGGCUAUGCACCUCUGGGCAUGGCACUUAACCCUUCUGAGCCCCAGCCCGCCAUCUGUAAAAAGGGCUUGAUGUGAGGAUUGAAUGAGAUCAUGCAGGGAACACAAUGUCUGGCACUUGGAAGCGUCCACCAUAAAGAGCCAAGGCAGUAGAUGGCCCAGCUGGGUUUGGUCCAGGCAGAGUUUACCCUCUGCCCUGGAGGCUCCAGGAAAUGCUGCCACGUGGCUCCUAUUGCCUUAACCACAUCCGACCUGUUCCUGACAGCUCCCCACAUCUCCAGCUCCUUUGCUGGUGCUCCAGGCACCUCCAAACGUGGCGAGCCCCUCUCCCCUGCCCUCUUGUGGCAGCUGACCUGGCAGGAGUGGGACCAAGACAUCCAAGGCAGCUCCUUUCCACCUGCAUGGGCACUUUCCUCAGGACAUCCUUGCCCCUGGCACCACCUUGGGCCAGCAAGCCACAUGGAAAUGGAUGCAGAGGCACCACUGUUUGCUGACAAUUAUACACUGUCCUUAAGGUCACCCUUGGCGAUCUGUCACCAGGAGCAGACAAACCCACACCUCAACCAUCCCAUCAGAGCUUGUUUCUAUCUGCAUCUGUCAUCGCUGAUCGCAUUUGAAUGGGUUUAGUCUCUAUUUUAAAUAAAAGAUUUAUGCCUUAGCUGUCAGAGCCUGCCUUUAUUUGAAAAUUUAAUCUUGUUUCUAGGAGUCUAGAUUAACUUAUUAGAUUUAGGCGUCCCUCGUGGGUCUCUGAGAGAGGAGGAGUAGAUUCUCCUCCCUGCAUUCGGCCCUGCACACCCGACAGUGAGAGCCAAGAGCUGGAUGGGCUUCUCCAUCCAGCACGCCCAGGCUGGACAGAGGCCCCCAACUCAGGCAACUUUGUCGGGUAACCGUGUGUCCAGGGAGUGCUUUCUUGCACGCUCCGUCUCCGGGCCAGCUUCCAGGACCUGUGCUCACUGCAAGGGACACCCAUCAAGCCGGCCCUUUCUCAGAGGUUUUGGGGAGGCUUCAGGAAGGACCCCCAGUGGGGGCCCAGCUUGUCAACAUGGGCUGUGCCAAGGAGUUCUGAGUUUCCUUCAGGUCUGUAUUGUAUCUUCCACCCCCUCAGAGCUCCCUCCCUACUGCUUAGACCACACGAAGCUGUGGGGCUGUGGGCAGCCAGUUCACUUCCCUGACCUUGUCUGCAGGUGGAGACAGUGGCAGUGCCCCUCCCGGGCUGCUGCGUCACUCAGUGUAAAAGCAGGGAGGCACUGGAGAGCUGCUGUCUGCAAGUUUGUUGCUACUUCAAAAGGUGCAGGUGGGCCCUCACCUCCUUUAGAGGUGAGGAUGAGCUACCCAAAGUGAAAAGGAGCUUCUCAGCGUCGCAAUGGAGUCACGGCCAGGCUGCCCACACCAGCCGUCCGGACCUGCACCAGUGCCACGGGGUCUGCCCCAUCUUCUCUUCCCUCUCCUUCCCCUCUCCCUCUCUCUCCCUGUCUCUUUCUCCUCUCUCCAUGCUAUUGACUGAAUGUUUGAAUUCCCUGCAAAUGCAUUCCUAACCCCCAAUGUGACUGUGUUUGGAGACAGGGUCUUUAGGAGGUAACUGAGGUUAAAUGAGGUUGUAAAGAUGGGGCCCUGAACCGAUGGGACUGGGGUCCUUAUGAGAAGAGGAAAAGGGGUCCCUCCCCAUGGAGGGACGACCACAGCGAGGCAGCAGCCGCCCACACGCCAGAGAAGGGGACUCAGACGGAAGCCUUGCUUCACCGGCACCUUGAUCUUGACUCCUAGCCUCCAGAAUUGUGAUAAAUAAAUUUCUGUUGCUUAAGCCCC